UUGUUAGGAUUAUAUAUCCGACUAAAACAUAAUAGCCUUCAUAUCGAAUUAUUUGGAAUAACAACAUAAGCGGAAGCGUACCUGAAUCCAUAAGUGGAUAUCCUUAGUCCUUCUUGAUGAUUGUCCAAAUGUUUGGCUUUGAAAGCUCCUUGAUCCUUCUUGAAGAUUGUCCUUCUUGAAGUAUUGGCUUUCACACGAAUUUAUCUAAGACCAAAAAUGGAGAAUGGUUUUCCACUUGAU
Molecule: long non-coding RNA, 240 nt
Filed under: Nicotiana benthamiana
Lineage: Eukaryota; Viridiplantae; Streptophyta; Magnoliopsida; Solanales; Solanaceae
Description: long non-coding RNA (NBEN_LNC012558)
Source: RNAcentral